Molecule: long non-coding RNA, 557 nt
Organism: Gossypium arboreum
Lineage: Eukaryota; Viridiplantae; Streptophyta; Magnoliopsida; Malvales; Malvaceae
Exons: 2
Source: RefSeq, a predicted model, not a curated record
CUAAAUUGAACUAAGUGCAAAAUUGUGAGAUGUGAUUAAAUAGCUUAAGUAUUUAAAAAGAUGGAUUUAAAGAGCAAUUAGACCCAAAGGUUAAUGGCUGGACGGUUUGGGUAUGAAAUAAGCAAGAAAACAAUGUGAACAAGGGACAAAAUUGGAAUUAGCAUAAAAGUUAAUAGUUAAAAAAAUGAUGUAAUUGAAAAUCUAGACAUUUCUUCAUCUUUCUCAGCCAAAAACGCCGUAGCAGGUCUCCUAUGCUGGUUUUUCAUAUUUUUGCACCAUUUUUGACAAGCCAGCUCAGAAAUCGGGAACGGUCGGAGGCCCACUCACACUAUCCGUAUACCAUCUUGGCAUAAUGGCUUGUAUGUUUUGAGUAUGGCAUGUAUAGCAUUAUAAUCAUUUUGUAUAUAUGGUCUUAUGAUAUGGAUAUUGAGUGGUAUGGAAAUGCUUGGUAAUGAUUAGCCAUUGGAAUGGCUAAUCAUGAUCAUAUUUGGUGUUAUGUAUGCUAAAUUGCUAGCUAAUCCAUGGAAACCAUGAAAUAGGCAAAAUUUACCAUAAAA